Molecule: ribosomal RNA, 301 nt
Filed under: uncultured bacterium
Lineage: Bacteria
Description: partial 16S ribosomal RNA
Rfam family: Bacterial small subunit ribosomal RNA
Source: RNAcentral
CAGCCGCCGCGGGAAUACGUAGGUGGCAAGCGUUGUCCGGAAUUAUUGGGCGUAAAGGGCUCGCAGGCGGUUUCUUAAGUCUGAUGUGAAAGCCCCCGGCUCAACCGGGGAGGGUCAUUGGAAACUGGGAAACUUGAGUGCAGAAGAGGAGAGUGGAAUUCCACGUGUAGCGGUGAAAUGCGUAGAGAUGUGGAGGAACGCCAGUGGCGAAGGCGACUCUCUGGUCUGUAACUGACGCUGAGGAGCGAAAGCGUGGGGAGCGAACAGGAUUAGAUACCCCAGUAGUCCCUGUCUCUUAUAC